UAGGGAAUCUUCGGCAAUGGACGGAAGUCUGACCGAGCAACGCCGCGUGAGUGAAGAAGGUUUUCGGAUCGUAAAGCUCUGUUGUAAGAGAAGAACGAGUGUGAGAGUGGAAAGUUCACACUGUGACGGUAUCUUACCAGAAAGGGACGGCUAACUACGUGCCAGCAGCCGCGGUAAUACGUAGGUCCCGAGCGUUGUCCGGAUUUAUUGGGCGUAAAGCGAGCGCAGGCGGUUAGAUAAGUCUGAAGUUAAAGGCUGUGGCCUAACCAUAGUAGGCUUUGGAAACUGUUUAACUUGAGUGCAAGAGGGGAGAGUGGAAUUCCAUGUGUAGCGGUGAAAUGCGUAGAUAUAUGGAGGAACACCGGUGGCGAAAGCGGCUCUCUGGCUUGUAACUGACGCUGAGGCUCGAAAGCGUGGGGGGCAAACAGGAUUAGAUACCCUGGUAGUCCACGCUGUAAACGAUGAGUGCUAGGUGUUAGACCCUUUCCGGGGUUUAGUGCCGUAGCUAACGCAUUAAGCACUCCGCCUGGGGAGUACGACCGCAAGGUUG
This 550-nucleotide ribosomal RNA is filed under the name uncultured bacterium. RNAcentral describes it as "bacterial SSU rRNA". It matches the Rfam family "Bacterial small subunit ribosomal RNA", at positions 355 to 896 of the family's 1533-position model. The record is from RNAcentral.